AGAGUUUGAUCCUGGCUCAGGACGAACGCUGGCGGCGUGCUUAACACAUGCAAGUCGAGCGAUGAAGCUUCCUUCGGGAAGUGAAUUAGCGGCGGACGGGUGAGUAACACGUGGGUAACCUGCCUCAAAGUGGGGGAUAGCCUUCCGAAAGGAAGAUUAAUACCGCAUAAUAUAAGAGAAUCGCAUGAUUUUCUUAUCAAAGAUUUAUUGCUUUGAGAUGGACCCGCGGCGCAUUAGCUAGUUGGUAAGGUAACGGCUUACCAAGGCAACGAUGCGUAGCCGACCUGAGAGGGUGAUCGGCCACAUUGGAACUGAGACACGGUCCAGACUCCUACGGGAGGCAGCAGUGGGGAAUAUUGCGCAAUGGGGGAAACCCUGACGCAGCAACGCCGCGUGGGUGAUGAAGGUCUUCGGAUUGUAAAGCCCUGUUUUCUAGGACGAUAAUGACGGUACUAGAGGAGGAAGCCACGGCUAACUACGUGCCAGCAGCCGCGGUAAUACGUAGGUGGCGAGCGUUGUCCGGAUUUACUGGGCGUAAAGGGUGCGUAGGCGGAUGUUUAAGUGGGAUGUGAAAUCCCCGGGCUUAACCUGGGGGCUGCAUUCCAAACUGGAUAUCUAGAGUGCAGGAGAGGAAAGCGGAAUUCCUAGUGUAGCGGUGAAAUGCGUAGAGAUUAGGAAGAACACCAGUGGCGAAGGCGGCUUUCUGGACUGUAACUGACGCUGAGGCACGAAAGCGUGGGUAGCAAACAGGAUUAGAUACCCUGGUAGUCCACGCCGUAAACGAUGGAUACUAGGUGUAGGGGGUAUCAACUCCCCCUGUGCCGCAGUUAACACAAUAAGUAUCCCGCCUGGGGAGUACGGUCGCAAG
RNAcentral lists this ribosomal RNA (868 nucleotides) under Clostridium sporogenes. RNAcentral describes it as "bacterial SSU rRNA". It matches the Rfam family "Bacterial small subunit ribosomal RNA", at positions 8 to 892 of the family's 1533-position model. The record is from RNAcentral. Lineage: Bacteria; Bacillati; Bacillota; Clostridia; Eubacteriales; Clostridiaceae.